CGAAACACAGUAAUAGGGAAAGUAAAACUUACACUGCUGACACAGAGAGUCUUUGUUCGCUGAAAGAAGACACGGAAAGAAAGUUUGAAAAUGGCCUUUGAGUGUUGAUACCAAUAUGAGGUGUCAACGGGAUCGCCCGUUAUAGCGAUACAGUAUUAACAUUUUGUUAAAUGGCGUACUGGAUUAAAUCCACGCGUCGUAUAUUUCGUUAAUACUCAUUUUAUUCAUAUAAGAUGAGUUUUUUAAUUUCAACGAAGAUACGAUGUCACUAUUCAGUCUAUGUUGCCUAUUCAACAACUUGGCGUACUGGUUAAGGUUACUUUAGUGAUAAAGUAACAAACAGAGGUGGUACCGCGAGCUAAGCUUUCGUCCUUUAC
This 377-nucleotide non-coding RNA is filed under the name Staphylococcus sp. RNAcentral's name for it is "T-box sequence". It matches the Rfam family "T-box leader". Rfam says of the family: Uncharged tRNA acts as the effector for transcription antitermination of genes in the T-box leader family. T-boxes are found upstream of many aminoacyl-tRNA synthetase genes and some amino acid biosynthetic genes usually in Gram-positive bacteria. The anticodon of a specific tRNA base pairs to a specifier sequence within the T-box motif, and the NCCA acceptor tail of the tRNA base pairs to a conserved bulge in the T-box antiterminator hairpin. The record is from RNAcentral. Lineage: Bacteria; Bacillati; Bacillota; Bacilli; Caryophanales; Staphylococcaceae.